RNAcentral lists this signal recognition particle RNA (302 nucleotides) under Saimiri boliviensis boliviensis (Bolivian squirrel monkey). RNAcentral describes it as "Metazoan signal recognition particle RNA (ENSSBOG00000005034.1)". It matches the Rfam family "Metazoan signal recognition particle RNA". Rfam says of the family: The signal recognition particle (SRP) is a universally conserved ribonucleoprotein. It is involved in the co-translational targeting of proteins to membranes. Lineage: Eukaryota; Metazoa; Chordata; Mammalia; Primates; Cebidae. The record is from RNAcentral.
GCCAGGCAAGUGGCACGUGCCUGUAGUUCCAGAUACUUGGGAGGCUGAGGCAGGAGAAUCACUUAAGCCCAGGAGUUCUAGGCUCUAGUGCACAAUGCUGACCAGGUGUGUGUCUGCACUAAGUUUAGCAUCAGUAUGAUGACCUCCCCGGAGUGUGGCACCACCAGGUUGCCUAAGGAGGGAUGAACUGGCCCAGGUCGGAAACAGAGCAGGUCAAAACUUGCGUGCUGAUGAGUAGUGAGAUCACACCUGUGAAUAGCCACCACACUCCAACCUGGGCAGUAUAGCAAGACCCCAUCUCU